GUUUAGCCCCGAUAAAAGUGGAAAGCCCAAAGUCUCGUUGGCUUACAUUUUUUAUAACGACAAAGCGACCAGAGGAAGCUUUUGAAGUUAUUUUAAAAAUGUUGCCAACGGGAUGAGGACUUUUAACGGAAAGCGGGAAUAGCU
RNAcentral lists this unclassified non-coding RNA (144 nucleotides) under Flavobacterium urumqiense. RNAcentral describes it as "Flavo-1 RNA". The record is from RNAcentral. Lineage: Bacteria; Pseudomonadati; Bacteroidota; Flavobacteriia; Flavobacteriales; Flavobacteriaceae.